CAGUAGCCACGGGAAUACGUAGGUGGCGAGCGUUGUCCGGAAUUAUUGGGCGUAAAGGGAGCGCAGGCGGACAUAUAAGUCCAUCUUAAAAGUGCGGGGCUCAACCCCGUGAGGGGAUGGAAACUGUAUGCCUUGAGUGCAGGAGAGGAAAGCGGAAUUCCCAGUGUAGCGGUGAAAUGCGUAGAUAUUGGGAGGAACACCAGUGGCGAAGGCGGCUUUCUGGACUGCAACUGACGCUGAGGCUCGAAAGCCAGGGGAGCGAACGGGAUUAGAGACCCCUGUAGUCCCUGUCUCUUAUACA
Molecule: ribosomal RNA, 301 nt
Filed under: uncultured bacterium
Lineage: Bacteria
Description: partial 16S ribosomal RNA
Rfam family: Bacterial small subunit ribosomal RNA
Source: RNAcentral